GUGUUUGCUUAGUUUAAGUGGAAACAAGGGACAAAGUGAAAAAUGGAGGAAAUGGGAAAGUGUAGUGUAGUAUAUGAUAUACUAGCUAGGCUUGCCUUUAAUGAUAAAGGAAAGGUUAUGCAUGGUUUCUUCUUUUGCAGUGUCUUAAUUUUUUCCUUAGAAAGAUAGAGUGUGAGAAGGACCUAAGGGGGAAAGCAGGUAGCUUAUAGCAAUCAUCUGAGAUGGUUGUUGUUUCUGUUCCUCAUUUUCAGUGGGGGGUGUUGGAGAGUGGAGAGAAGGGGAAGACGGUUUUGGAAGUGAAGAAGUGUGAUGCAACACAAUCAGAAAUGGAUCGAACAAAGGACGUGAGAUUUUGUAAGUUGGUGGUGGCUCUCAUGUGAAGAAAGAAAUUAUUGGGGCUUUGUGUUGUGGCAUUGGUGGUGAGUGGGGACAAGUGUAUAUAUAGGAUCCAAAUGGCUUUGGCCUUAUUCAAC
Molecule: long non-coding RNA, 473 nt
Filed under: Glycine max (soybean)
Lineage: Eukaryota; Viridiplantae; Streptophyta; Magnoliopsida; Fabales; Fabaceae
Description: long non-coding RNA (GMAX_LNC001669)
Source: RNAcentral